This 1065-nucleotide long non-coding RNA is filed under the name Gallus gallus (chicken). RNAcentral's name for it is "lncRNA (ENSGALG00010000187.1)". Lineage: Eukaryota; Metazoa; Chordata; Aves; Galliformes; Phasianidae. The record is from RNAcentral.
GGGUCGUAUGUCGCGAUAGGGUCGCGAUAGGGCCACGAUAGGGUCAUGAUAGGGUCGUAUGUCGCGAUAGGGCCGCGAUAGGGCCACAAUAGGGUCGUAUGUCGUGAUAGGGUCAUGAUGAUAUCCCGAUAGGGCCAUAUGUCACGAUAGGGUCGCGAUAGGGUCACAAUAGGGCCAUGGUGAUAUCGCAAUAGAGCCAUAUGUCACGAUAGGGCCAUGAUAGGGUCGCAAUAGGGCCACAAUAGGGUCACAAUAGGGUCAUAUGUCAUGAUAGGAUCACGAUGAUAUCGCGAUAGGGCCAUAUGUCACGAUAGGGCCACGAUAGGGCCGCAAUAGGGCCACAAUAGGGUCACGAUAGGGUCAUAUGUCGCGAUAGGGCUGCGAUAGGGUCAUGGUGAUAUCCCGAUAGGGCCAUAUGUCGUGAUAGGGCCGUGAUAGGGUCACGAUAGGGUCGUAUGUCGUGAUAGGGCUGCGAUAGGGUCAUGGUGAUAUCGUGAUAGGGCCAUAUGUCGCGAUAGGGCCACGAUAAGGUCACAAUAGGGCCACAAUAGGGUCACGAUAGGGUCAUAUGUCGCGAUAGGGCCGCAAGAGGGUCAUGGUGAUAUCCCAAUAGGGCCAUAUGUUGUGAUAGGGCCGCGAUAGGGUCACGAUAGGGCCACGACAGGGCCAUAUGUCGCGAUAGGGCCACAAUAGGGUCGCAGUAGGGCCAUUAUAGGGUCACAAUAGGGUUGUAUGCCACGAUAGGGCCAUGAUAGGAUCAGUAUAUCGUGAUAUAAGAUGCCAUAUGGUGAUAUAUCGCUCCAUAUCGCUCCAUAUCGCACCACAUUGCGACAUAAGGCAGUAUAUCGCGACAUAAGGUGCCACAUGGCGAUAUAUCGCGACAUAUCGCGACAUAAAGGUGCCCUAUGGCGACAUAUCGCGACAUAUCGCGACAUAAAGGUGCCACAUGGCGAUAUAUCGCGACGUAUCGCGACGCAUCGCGACAUAAAGGUGCCGUAUUGCACCGUAUCGCGCCGUAAAGCAGUAUAUCGCGACAUAAAGGUGCCAUAUCGCACCGUAUCGUGA